ACAAAGACCAGAAGUCAUUCAACUGCUCCCCUCCUCUAUAUUCCCCGCGGAAGGGCGACUCCUCUUCCGACAUCCCACCCGACCUCUAUUUUUUAUUCUGGUGGUCCUCGGUUUACUACAGAUCGGCGCUUUCUUUAGGGUUUAUAUUUCCCUUCUCCCCACCCACUCGAUUCCCGGUGUCGAUGUAGAUUCGUCUCUGAUCCUGCCGGAGAUCUAGGAAGAAGAAGAAGAUUGCUGAUCCCUUCCCUCGGAGACGAAGAUGGUGGUAUCUGGUCCUGUGACUCCGGGACAGAUUUCAUUUUUGCUUGGUUUUUUUCCUGUGUUCGUAGCAUGGGUAUACUCAGAAAUAUUGGAAUACAGAAAAUAUUCCUCUCCUACUAAAGUUCAUUCGGAUGUAAAUUUGGUUGAAUUGGGAAAUGAAACAAUUAAGGAAGAUGAUCGAGCUGCUUUGCUUGAAGGAGGGCUAUCGAAAUCGUCAUCUGCAAAAUUUCAGAACGCGUCUGUGCAGGCAAAUUUAUUCAGGUUUAUAAAAAUGGACAAGUCUUUCUUGCUUGAAAAUAGAGCAAUACUAAGGGCGAUGUCAGAAUUUGGGGCGACUCUGGUUUACUUCUACAUCUGUGACCGCACAAAUGUGUUCUCAGAAUCGAAGAAGAAUUACAGCCGCGACCUGUUUCUUUUUCUUUACAUUCUUCUUAUCAUAGCUUCAGCCAUGACUUCUCUUAAGAAGCAUCAGGAGAAGUCUGCAUUCUCAGGGAAAUCUAUACUGUACUUAAAUCGGCAUCAAACUGAGGAAUGGAGAGGAUGGAUGCAGGUCUUAUUUUUGAUGUAUCACUACUUCGCCGCCACUGAGAUAUACAAUGCAAUACGUGUAUUCAUUGCUGCUUAUGUGUGGUUGACUGGAUUCGGGAACUUCUCUUAUUAUUAUAUACGGAAGGAUUUUAGCCUUGCUCGGUUUGCCCAGAUGAUGUGGCGGCUAAAUUUGUUUGUGGCUUUCUGUUGCAUUGUCCUGAACAAUGACUACAUGCUGUAUUAUAUAUGUCCAAUGCACACUCUUUUCACCCUUAUGGUGUAUAGUGCUCUUGGAAUUUUUAACGAGUAUAAUGAGAUUGCAUCAGUAAUGGCUGUGAAAAUUGCUGGUUGUUUUUUGGUGGUGAUCUUAAUUUGGGAAGUUCCUGGAGUUUUUGAUCUUGUAUGGAGCCCUUUUACUUUUCUAUUAGGGUACAAAGAUGCGAAUCCUUCUAAAGCUAACUUAUCUCUCCUGCAUGAGUGGCACUUUAGAUCUGGCCUUGAUCGCUAUAUUUGGAUUAUUGGAAUGAUAUAUGCAUACUAUCAUCCCACUGUUGAAAGAUGGAUGGAGAGACUCGAGGAAUCUGAAACUAAAGUGAGGUUGUCAGUUAAAACAAGCAUAGUUACUGUUUGCUUGGUGGUUGGUUAUGUGUGGUACGAAUAUAUCUAUAAGCUAGACAAAAUUACGUAUAAUAAGUUCCAUCCAUACACAUCAUGGAUUCCAAUCACCGUUUACAUUUGUUUGCGGAACUUCACUCAGCAAUUACGAAGUUCUUCUUUGACUCUCUUUGUGUGGCUUGGCAAGAUUACACUGGAAACCUACAUCUCUCAGAUCCAUAUCUGGCUAAGGUCAAGCACGCCUAAUGGUCAGCCCAAAUGGCUUCUUUGUUUCAUUCCAGAUUAUCCAUUGCUCAAUUUCCUUCUUACUACUGCAAUCUAUCUCUUUAUAUCCUACCGAAUCUUUGAUCGGACAAAUUUGCUCAAGGCAGCUUUUAUUCCCACUAAAGACAACAAUCGCCUCCUGCAUAAUUUUAUUGCAGGAGCAGUCAUUUCCUUCUUCUUGUAUUGUAUCUCAUGGGUUCUUCUUAUGCCUGUUGCAUCGGGAUAACAAAUUGCUACAAAUGUUAAUCUGAGGUUUCCCGCUGGUUAGCAAAAUAUUCAAAUUACUGUCUACAAGAGAGGAGGAAGAACUAGAGCUGUCCAGAUUCAGAGGCAUUUUGAUUUGUGGGCUUCAAAGCCUAGGAGUUGUAUAUUUGUGGGGGCGGGGAGAUGAUCUUAGGAUCUUGGAAUUGGCCAUUCAUCACCCAUUGCCCUUCUAACAUGAAGAAGGUAAUUCCAGUGGGUCCCACCUGUUGUUUUCCUGACAACUUAAUGUAAUCAUUUCAUUGAUUUAAUGUUGGUGAACUUAGGCUCAUGAGAAUGUAAAGGUUUUUUAUCAACUCAUUAUUUGUACAUGUAUCAUCACAUUUUCUGGAUUUUCUGCAUCUGUUACUCUCGCAGAUGAAGCCAUACUGUCUUUACUAAAAAUCAAUAAGCAAAAAAAGAAAAGAAAAAAUCAAUAAAAAAAGCUUGAACUCAAACAGUUUGGAUUCAAGACUGCCUGGAGUUCAACUUCCAAAUUGUUUCAAUUAGAAGCAGGUAGUCUUGUUGUACAACCAGACUUUGAUCCGAA
Molecule: RNA transcript, 2458 nt
Organism: Elaeis guineensis (African oil palm)
Lineage: Eukaryota; Viridiplantae; Streptophyta; Magnoliopsida; Arecales; Arecaceae
Gene name: protein REDUCED WALL ACETYLATION 1
Source: RefSeq, a predicted model, not a curated record